AUGCUAGUCGAGCGCCUUGAGCUAUGGCAGGGCGCGGCGUACAGCUCAGUAACACGUAGUUAACCUACCCUCGGGACGGGGACAACCCCGGGAAACUGGGGCUAAUACCCAAUGGGUGAGGAGGCCUGGAAUGGUUCUUCACCGAAAGGAUGUUGAAACACGCUUUCAACCUUGCCCGAGGAUGGGACUGCGUCCGAUCAGGUUGUUGGUGGGGUAACGGCUCACCAAGCCUAUAACCGGUACGGGCCGUGAGAGCGGGAGCCCGGAGAUGGAAUCUGAGACAAAAUUCUAGGCCCUACGGGGCGCAGCAGUCGCGAAAACUCCACAAUGCACGAAAGUGUGAUGGGGCUACCCCGAGUGCCGUCCGCUGAGGAUGGCUUUUCUUCAGUGUAAUAAGCUGGAGGCAAUAAAGGGAGGGCAAGAAUGGUGUCAGCCGCCGCGGUAAAACCAACUCCCUGAGUGGUGGGGAUGAUUAUCGGGCUUAAAGCGUCCGUAGCUGGCUUGGUUAGUUCCGCGUUAAAUCCAGCGACCUAAUCGUUGGGAUGCGGGGGAUACGGUCAGGCUAGGAGGCGGGAGAGGUUAGCGGUACUCCAGGGGUAGGGGUGAAAUCCAGUAAUCCCUGGGGGACCACCAGUGGCGAAGGCUGCUAACCAGAACGCGCUCGACGGUGAGGGACGAAAGCUGGGGGAGCGAACCGGAUUAGAUACCCGGGUAGUCCCAGCUGUAAACGAUGCGGGCUAGCUGUUGGGAUGGCUACGAGCCAUUUCAGUGGCGCAGGGAAACCGUUAAGCCCGCCGCCUGGGAAGUACGAUCGCAAGAUUGAAACUUAAAGGAAUUGGCGGGGGAGCACCACAAGGCGUGAAGCUUGCGGUUCAAUUGGAGUCAACGCCGGAAAUCUUACCGGGGCUGACAGCAGAGUGAAAGCCAGAUUAAAGGUCUUGCUGGACAAGCUGAGAGGUAGUGCAUGGCCGUCGCCAGUUCGUGCCGUGAGGUGUCCUGUUAAGUCAGGCAACGAGCGAGACCCGCACCCUUAGUUGCCACCGGAUCCCAGUGGGAUCUGGGCACCCUAAGGGGACUGCCGCCGAUAAGGCGGAGGAAGGAGCGGGCCACGGCAGGUCAGUAUGCUCCGAAUCUCCCGGGCUACACGCGGGCUACAAUGGCCAGGACAAUGGGUCCCUUCCCCGAAAGGGGUUGGUAAUCUCACAAACCUGUCCGUAGUUCGGAUCGAGGGCUGUAACUCGCCCUCGUGAAGCUGGCAUCCGUAGUAAUCGCGUUUCAAGAUAGCGCGGUGAAUACGUCCCUGCUCCUUGCACACACCGCCCGUCAAACCACCCGAGUGAGGUAUGGGUGAGGGCACAGACGUCGUGC
This 1368-nucleotide ribosomal RNA is filed under the name uncultured archaeon. Its description in RNAcentral is "bacterial SSU rRNA". It matches the Rfam family "Archaeal small subunit ribosomal RNA". The record is from RNAcentral.